This 438-nucleotide ribosomal RNA is filed under the name Triticum aestivum (bread wheat). RNAcentral describes it as "partial small subunit ribosomal RNA". The record is from RNAcentral. Lineage: Eukaryota; Viridiplantae; Streptophyta; Magnoliopsida; Poales; Poaceae.
GCUCCAGGGCCUGAUGGGAUCCCUUUCUUUUUCUAUCAGCACUUCUGGGAUCUGGUGGAAAAAGACCUGAUGGAUAUGUUUUCAGACUUCCACAAAGGGGAGUUUGACAUACAUAUGCUUAACUUUGCUAUGCUAACUCUGGUUUCCAAAAAAGCAGAUGCCUCUUCUAUGAAGAAGUUUAGGCCCAUCACCCUCUUGAACUGUAGUUUUAAGAUUUUCACUAAAGUACUCACCAAUAGGUUGUCAAAGAUCUUGCACAGGCUGGUAGCUAGCAACCAGUCUACCUUCUUAAAAGGUAGAUAUAUUUUGGAAAGUGUGGUGACAGCACAUGAGGUGCUGCACUCAAUCCACUCUAGUAAGAGAGAAGGCUUGGUACUAAAAAUAGACUAUGAGAAAGCCUUUGAUAAAGUCAAUCUAGAAUUUAGAGGAACUUCUUAA